This 77-nucleotide transfer RNA is filed under the name Terriglobia bacterium. Its description in RNAcentral is "tRNA-Thr". It matches the Rfam family "tRNA". From Rfam's summary of the family: Transfer RNA (tRNA) molecules are approximately 80 nucleotides in length. Their secondary structure includes four short double-helical elements and three loops (D, anti-codon, and T loops). Further hydrogen bonds mediate the characteristic L-shaped molecular structure. tRNAs have two regions of fundamental functional importance: the anti-codon, which is responsible for specific mRNA codon recognition, and the 3' end, to which the tRNAs corresponding amino acid is attached (by aminoacyl-tRNA synthetases). tRNAs cope with the degeneracy of the genetic code in two manners: having more than one tRNA (with a specific anti-codon) for a particular amino acid; and 'wobble' base-pairing, i.e. permitting non-standard base-pairing at the 3rd anti-codon position. The record is from RNAcentral. Lineage: Bacteria; Pseudomonadati; Acidobacteriota; Terriglobia.
GCCCCUGUAGCACAGUCGGUUAAAUGCAGCCGAUUUGUAAUCGGCCUACAUCGGUUCGAAUCCGAUCGGGGGCUCCA